AUGUCUACAGCCUCCUCAUGGCUGGGUUUGUGGAGGCCGGGGAUGGGGCCAAAGCAGUGGAGCUGCACCAAGAACUUGCAGGACAAGCUUGGCGGCGAGCCGGUCCUCGAUGGCAUCGUGUACGGGAGCCUCAUGAAGGCCUACUUCCUUAUGGGAAUGGAGGAGAAGGCCAUGGGGUGCUGCAAAGAGCUGCUCGCUCCGGAAUCGGAGGUGAGGUUCGGGACCGAGAGCUAUACUCAGGUGCUCGAUGCGCUUGGGAAGAAUGAAAGGUUAGAGGAUGCACUCAACCUGUUCGACAGAAUGCUUGGGGAGCAUGACCCUCCAUUGAGGAUUACAGUUGAUGUCAGAAGCUUCAGCGUGAUGGUGGAUGCCUACUGUGCUGCCGGAAGGUUUGAGGAUGCGAUUGCGGUGUUCCGGAGGAUGGCAGAGUAUAAGGUGGCACCGGAUGUAGCAGCAUACAACAAUCUGAUUCGGCAUCUCGGGCUUAAUCGGCUGGCAGAUGAGGCAGAGGUGCUCCACAAGGAGAUGGGCGAGCAUGGUCUUGUUGCAGAUGAGGAGACAUGUGUGCUGCUCAUGGAGGCGCGCUUUAAGGCUGAUCGCAUCGACGAUGGUAUCAGCUACUUCAACAGAAUGGCUGAGCUGGAGUUGAAGCCUGAUGCAUCGCAUUAUCAUAGGAUCGUCGACGGCUUGGUUGGUUUAAGCUUGCUCGACAAGGCUCAUGAGUACUUCGAUCAGAUGAGGGAGAAGGAAAUUCACCCAAGCACUGCAACCUACGAGACACUGCUAAAGGCGUAUGUUGGCGUUGGCGCGACGCGGUUGGAUGAUGCAGCCAAAGUAGCGAAGUGUAUCCUUUUGGAUGAGAAUGUGGUUUUCAGCGAUGAGAUGAGGGAGCUUCUUGAAGGCGCGCUCCGUGGAGAGGGCAGGGAAGAUGACAUAGCAAAGCUGUAUGAAGACGUGGAGAGGGAGAAGGCCGAAGCAGUUCUGCGGGUGGAAGAAGAGAAGGCGAGGGCAGAGGCACUUGCCAGGGAAGAGAGGGCGGCGAGGAGGGCAGAGGCCGCUGCCAAGGAUGAGGCUGCAGCAAAAGCUAGUGCUGCUGCCAUUGAGGCUAUCAUUGGCCAUAGAAGGAAAACUGAAGGUGAGACAGCAGAACCUGCAUCUACUCCAAACGCUCUCGACGGCGGGCUUCUCAGCAGGCUUGGCCUUAGUUCACCUGGAGAAGGUGCGCCUCAAGACACUCCAAUAAUUAGUACCGAAACAAAAGGAGAUGGGCAGGAGCAAUUUUGA
This 1284-nucleotide ribosomal RNA is filed under the name Triticum aestivum (bread wheat). Its description in RNAcentral is "partial small subunit ribosomal RNA". The record is from RNAcentral. Lineage: Eukaryota; Viridiplantae; Streptophyta; Magnoliopsida; Poales; Poaceae.